Molecule: ribosomal RNA, 253 nt
Filed under: uncultured bacterium
Lineage: Bacteria
Description: partial 16S ribosomal RNA
Rfam family: Bacterial small subunit ribosomal RNA
Source: RNAcentral
GACGGAGGAUGCAAGCGUUAUCCGGAAUGAUUGGGCGUAAAGCGUCCGCAGGCGGCAGUUCAAGUCUGCUGUCAAAGACCGGGGCUUAACUUCGGAAAGGCAGUGGAAACUGAACAGCUAGAGUAUGGUAGGGGCAGAGGGAAUUCCUGGUGUAGCGGUGGAAUGCGCAGAUAUCAGGAGGAACACCGAUGGCGAAGGCAGAUCUCUGGGCCGUAACUGACGCUGAGGAGCGAAAGCGUGGGGAGCAAACAGG